AACGCUAGCUACAGGCUUAACACAUGCAAGUCGAGGGGAAACGACAUCGAAAGCUUGCUUUUGAUGGGCGUCGACCGGCGCACGGGUGAGUAACGCGUAUCCAACCUGCCCACCACUUGGGGAUAACCUUGCGAAAGUAAGACUAAUACCCAAUGAUAUCUCUAGAAGGCAUCAGAAAGAGAUUAAAGAUUUAUCGGUGAUGGAUGGGGAUGCGUCUGAUUAGCUUGUUGGCGGGGUAACGGCCCACCAAGGCUACGAUCAGUAGGGGUUCUGAGAGGAAGGUCCCCCACAUUGGAACUGAGACACGGUCCAAACUCCUACGGGAGGCAGCAGUGAGGAAUAUUGGUCAAUGGGCGAGAGCCUGAACCAGCCAAGUAGCGUGCAGGACGACGGCCCUAUGGGUUGUAAACUGCUUUUAUAAGGGAAUAAAGUGAGUCUCGUGAGACUUUUUGCAUGUACCUUAUGAAUAAGGACCGGCUAAUUCCGUGCCAGCAGCCGCGGUAAUACGGAAGGUCCGGGCGUUAUCCGGAUUUAUUGGGUUUAAAGGGAGCGUAGGCCGGAGAUUAAGCGUGUUGUGAAAUGUAGAGGCUCAACCUCUGCACUGCAGCGCGAACUGGUCUUCUUGAGUACGCACAACGUGGGCGGAAUUCGUGGUGUAGCGGUGAAAUGCUUAGAUAUCACGAAGAACUCCGAUUGCGAAGGCAGCUCACGGGAGCGCAACUGACGCUGAAGCUCGAAAGUGCGGGUAUCGAACAGGAUUAGAUACCCUGGUAGUCCGCACGGUAAACGAUGGAUGCCCGCUGUUGGCCUGAAUAGGU
Molecule: ribosomal RNA, 818 nt
Filed under: uncultured Bacteroidota bacterium
Lineage: Bacteria; Pseudomonadati; Bacteroidota
Description: bacterial SSU rRNA
Rfam family: Bacterial small subunit ribosomal RNA
Source: RNAcentral